AGUGAACGCUGGCGGUAGGCCUAACACAUGCAAGUCGAACGGCAGCACAGUAAGAGCUUGCUCUUACGGGUGGCGAGUGGCGGACGGGUGAGGAAUACAUCGGAAUCUACUUUUUCGUGGGGGAUAACGUAGGGAAACUUACGCUAAUACCGCAUACGACCUACGGGUGAAAGCAGGGGAUCUUCGGACCUUGCGCGAUUGAAUGAGCCGAUGUCGGAUUAGCUAGUUGGCGGGGUAAAGGCCCACCAAGGCGACGAUCCGUAGCUGGUCUGAGAGGAUGAUCAGCCACACGGGAACUGAGACACGGUCCAGACUCCUACGGGAGGCAGCAGUGGGGAAUAUUGGACAAUGGGCGCAAGCCUGAUCCAGCCAGACCGCGUGGGUGAAGAAGGCCUUCGGGUUGUAAAGCCCUUUUGUUGGGAAAGAAAAGCAGCAGGUUAAUACCCCGCUGUUCUGACGGUACCCAAAGAAUAAGCACCGGCUAACUUCGUG
This 492-nucleotide ribosomal RNA is filed under the name uncultured bacterium. RNAcentral describes it as "partial 16S ribosomal RNA". It matches the Rfam family "Bacterial small subunit ribosomal RNA", at positions 29 to 507 of the family's 1533-position model. The record is from RNAcentral.